Molecule: long non-coding RNA, 733 nt
Organism: Scleropages formosus (Asian bonytongue)
Lineage: Eukaryota; Metazoa; Chordata; Actinopteri; Osteoglossiformes; Osteoglossidae
Exons: 3
Source: RefSeq, a predicted model, not a curated record
GUUACCUAUCCUACUAUUUACUAACAGUUGAACAAGAACCAAAAACAAAUUAAAACAAAAUAUUUUUUUUUUCAAAUUAAUAAAAUGAGGAGGAUUAAGAAAUCUUCCUGAUUUAGCCAAGAUAGAGACAUUUUCUAACCCCACACUCAUGAGAAAACUGAAAUACUGUGGAUAGAAAGUGCUUCACUGCAUGGAGAAAUUGCAGAAGGGUUUGUCUACUGCAGUGGGACGCUCUAUACUGAGUACAGAAAAAAAUGUGCUUAAUUUGUAUGAAUAAAUUUCCAUUAAUUCAAUGUCUGCUAACCAGGGGAUCUGCAUCUGUAAAGGGCUGUGUAUGUUUACCAAAGGCUGCUGUGAUUUCUUGUAGGGAGAAGGAAGAAAGCCCAAAGUAAUGAGUUUUACUCCAAUGUGAAAAUGGAGAACAGAAGGGCAGGCACUUUUGUCACACCUCUUGCCAUUUAUGAGAAUAUUGAGGACAUGACUGAAAACACAGUUUCAGGCAGUUAAGUCCCACCUAUUGCCCUGUCUGAGGAUAUUGUCCACAGCACUGAAACCACUGACCACUAAAGUCUCUGGAUUCAUUCAUUAGCUUGUCAUAUUAAUAUAUAUUUCUUUUCAUAUUUUAUGUCCAAUUAACCUCUGUCCGUGUCAUUUCUUCACUUUUAAAACUUCUCAUUUCUGUUUCUGCUGUAUCCAUUUAAAUAUUUGCAAUAACACCAAAUGGAUUUUUUUU